RNAcentral lists this long non-coding RNA (282 nucleotides) under Elaeis guineensis (African oil palm). RNAcentral's name for it is "long non-coding RNA (EGUI_LNC067548)". Lineage: Eukaryota; Viridiplantae; Streptophyta; Magnoliopsida; Arecales; Arecaceae. The record is from RNAcentral.
AGAGGAGGAAAUUUCUCAGUUUGAUAUAGGAAAGGAUGACAGUAGCAGAUUAUGAAGCUAAGUUUGUUGAACUAUUCCAUUUUUCUUCUGUGUUUGUAACUGAUGAGAAAGAAAAAUGCAGAUUGUUUCAAGAUGGACUGUGCCUUGAGAUCAAAGCAAAGACAAAGAUGCAUAACUAUGGCAGAUUUGCAGACUUGGUUGCAAGAGCAGUUAGAGCAGAAAAAAUUGAGAAGGAGUUUUAUAAUCAAAAAUAGAAAAGGGGUAAGGGAAGUGCACAAGAUU